UGUAGUCAAGCUCAGUGGUAGAGCGCUUGCCUGGCAUGUGCAAGGCCCUGGGUUUGAUUCCCAGCUCUGCAA
RNAcentral lists this transfer RNA (72 nucleotides) under Marmota marmota marmota (Alpine marmot). It matches the Rfam family "tRNA". From Rfam's summary of the family: Transfer RNA (tRNA) molecules are approximately 80 nucleotides in length. RNAcentral also lists the same sequence under 1 other name. Lineage: Eukaryota; Metazoa; Chordata; Mammalia; Rodentia; Sciuridae. The record is from Rfam by way of RNAcentral.